GCCCAACUUGCUGCAAAACAAUAACACAAAAGGUCUGGACUAUGGAGUGCAGCAUUACUUGUUUGGUCAUCUACAUUCAGAUGAAAACACCACACUCCUCUCUAAUUCAAGAUGUCAAGCCUACUCAUCGCAAGGAGAGUUAGCAUCAAAAUGGAUGUGUCACUGACCAAUAACACAGAGAUGCCAGAAGUAUCUGUUUGCUGUCUACUUUUUGUUAAGUACUAUGGAGCAUCCAAAAGCCAUCACUCAGUUAAUUUCAAUCAGCACUAUUUAGCCCUUCCCAGUGCUGAAAUUGUCAUGGGUCCUUUGUUUUUAUUGUUUAAAUGCUUAUCUGAAUGUAAAAUUAACAUUUAAUGCUUAUAAAUUUAAAAACAAUACUACUAGUUAGUCUUUUCUCUCCCUUUCCAGAAAUGUGGU
Long non-coding RNA from Sinocyclocheilus anshuiensis, 417 nucleotides. RefSeq lists it as uncharacterized. The record is from RefSeq and is a predicted model, not a curated record. The transcript is spliced from 3 exons. NCBI's taxonomy places the organism in Eukaryota, Metazoa, Chordata, Actinopteri, Cypriniformes, Cyprinidae.